Molecule: non-coding RNA, 21 nt
Filed under: Caenorhabditis elegans
Lineage: Eukaryota; Metazoa; Nematoda; Chromadorea; Rhabditida; Rhabditidae
Source: RNAcentral
UGAGACAAGAAAGUUUUGGUU